GAUAUCAGGGUCAAAAGGUCAAAAAGUCGUUCGUGCUUGCACGAUAAGACUUUUGAUCUUGGGACCCGCCAAACAUGAGAAAGCAGCGAUUUACGCAGUAAAUCAGCGGAUUUCGAAUGUUUGAGAAUUGCGGGAGCUGCUUUGCAGCGGAGCAAUUCGUGGAUAUC
Molecule: small RNA, 167 nt
Filed under: human gut metagenome
Description: Clostridiales-1 RNA
Rfam family: Clostridiales-1 RNA
Source: RNAcentral